GCAAAGAGUGUGAGUUAAUUAAUUGAGCCUCAAAUACUGAGCAUUAAUUUAUUUAAUGAGCACUGACAUCCUGAGGUGUAAAAGACAUUACAUCUUGUUCCAUUGCUUCAGCUUGUUAAGCAGCUUUUAGAAAUGGUCAUUUGCUUAAAUACUAAGCCUUUUUUCAGGUUCAUAAAAUUAGUAACAUGGAAUUCACAAGCCUCCUUAAUAUUAGUUUCUUUUGAAAGACAUUACAAUAGUAAUUUAUUGUCACUGGCUUCUCAAAGUUUCAACCCUCUCAGGUUCCCUAAAUGUUUCCACCUGGAAGGCUCUUAAACUUAGGUUUACCGUAGCUCUCAUCAAAUAGAAAUGUUUCUCUAACUUGAGUGAUGAUCUGAAACAGAUUUCCAAAGAGUCAGAGGACUUCAUUGUGGAGCAAUAUAAACAUCUCCGCCAGAGAGAUGGUUCUGGAGUGACCAAGUCUUCAUGGAGGAUUACAGUGCGACAGCUUGAGAGCAUGAUUCGUCUCUCUGAAGCUAUGGCUCGGAUGCACUGCUGUGAUGAGGUCCAACCUAAACAUGUGAAGGAAGCUUUCCGG
This 577-nucleotide long non-coding RNA is filed under the name Homo sapiens (human). Its description in RNAcentral is "non-protein coding lnc-LCT-1:1". The record is from RNAcentral. Lineage: Eukaryota; Metazoa; Chordata; Mammalia; Primates; Hominidae.